Molecule: ribosomal RNA, 301 nt
Filed under: uncultured bacterium
Lineage: Bacteria
Description: partial 16S ribosomal RNA
Rfam family: Bacterial small subunit ribosomal RNA
Source: RNAcentral
CAGCAGCCGCGGGAAUACGUAGGUGGCAAGCGUUGUCCGGAACUAUUGGGCGUAAAGGGCUCGCAGGCGGUUUCUUAAGUCUGACGUGAAAGCCCCCGGCUCAACCGGGGAGGGUCAUUGGAAACUGGGAAACUUGAGUGCAGAAGAGGAGAGUGGAAUUCCACGUGUAGCGGUGAAAUGCGUAGAGAUGUGGAGGAACACCAGUGGCGAAGGCGACUCUCUGGUCUGUAACUGACGCUGAGGAGCGAAAGCGUGGGGAGCGAACAGGAUUAGAUACCCGAGUAGUCCCUGUCUCUUAUAC